AAUUGAAUCUCAAAGAAAUAACUAAGAAAAUAGUAUUUUCUUAGGAAUUCUUCAAAGAACCAAAAGUAGAGAAUAAACUCACAAAUAUAUUGAAUAAUGAAUAAUGUGUUUGAUUACAUCAACUUAGACCUCUAUUUAUACUACUCAAAACAAUUCAUUUAUAAACUAUAACCCUAAUAGAAGUAAAUUUGGAAAAGAAUUCUAAUUAAAAAAAGAAGUCCUAAUUACAAUAGAAUUAUAAAAAUCUAAAAGUCCUUGCUGAAUAUGUAACUCGUGGGCUUAGUAAGAGCAGAAUUGGGCUUGUAUUAAAUUGUCCUAAAUUUUUUUCUCAUCCUUAUCUUUGGGUUUCCUUGUGUUAGCUUCAGCCCAAACAUCUUGGAUCAAUCUAUUGAGAUCUUGUUUGAACCUUUUAGUUCUAGCCUUGCUUGAUCCCCACUUCCCUUUAGUCUUGUUUGAGUCCACGCAUGCCAUGUCCUCAUCAAGAGCUCUGCAGAUAAGGACUUCUUGUCAACAAAACUCAAAACUAAACUGAUAUAUAUGGGGGUAAAUUAACUUUUCCUUCCAGGGACCGACUCACAAGUUGGUACCACAACUAAAAAAAAGUAACAAAUUUGUGCUUGUCCUAGAAAAAAUUUACAAAUCAAACAGACAUGACCGAAAAGUCAUAGUAGGCUAAUGUAUCCUAGGUGGAUAAUAAUAUUUGUACCUGGUGUCUAUCAAUGGCAUCAUCAUCUUUUAUCUUGAAUCCCGAAGAAAACUCAAAUUCCAUCAUGCGAAUCGAAGCACAAAAAGAGAAGAAAAAUGGAAACAAAUAACAAUCAAAUCGAACAACAGCAACAAUUCCAAAUCGAUCGCACCAGAUGAAAAUUUGACACGUAACACCAGAUCUACGUAACUAAGCUCCUCGAAGCACUCCGUAACCGAAGCUCUUUUACUCCUGCUGUCGGUACUCGCGCCGUAAGAGAUACCGUCGAUCGAGAACUCGUCGUUAUGGCAAAAAGGAAAAUGCAGUGGAGCAGAGCGAUUCUGACGAACCGGCUCAGGCUCCAAAUGAAUAACAGAUGGUGGGGGGUCGAUUUAGAUUUUAGUCUACACAGAUUUGCUAUUGUAUGGAGACAUAUGAGGCUUAUUGUUGUCUGGUGACGGAGCUGGGUCGGCAUGGGUGUCAAGGAGGAGGAGGUGAUCGGAGGAGGAAAUGGAGGAGCUGCAGGUGGAGUCGUGGGAGGCGGUGGUGGUGGUGUCGGAGGUGGAGGAGGAGGAGAGGAGGAAGGUACAAACCAUAGAGAGGCGGGGGAGAUAUGGAGGGGGAGUUGUCCUUUGUAAAAGAGUUCGUCGGCAGGGAUGAGGCUGGUGGUGGAUUUGUAGGGGGGAGGGAGACGGUUAAUUCAAAGUCGGAGGAGGAUGUGUGGGUUGGGAAGGAAGGUAGGGUUUGGGGUUUAAUUUUGUGAAGAUAUGAUGAUCUGCACAAUUUGAUAAGGAAGACUAAGGAGAGAGAAUAGAGGAAGGAGAUGAAAAGAGAGAAGAUGGAGAAGAAAAAGAAUAUAUUAAAUUUUUUUACUAAAUUUUAUUUUUGACACGUGUCGGUCUGAAUUUUUUUAACAGAAAUGGCAUAGUUGAACUAAAUUUUACAACAUUAAGGACAUCUACAUCUAGGGACAAAAAAGUUGAAGGAUUAAAUGGGCCAAACGUGAAAACCUUUAAAGCAAUUAUGCAUCUUUACCCAAAAUUUUAUACUACUACUUCCGAGUUAUUAUUUCUAAUAUUUUCUUAGCGACUCUAAGCAGCCUAGACAAACUUAAACAUUUUAAUUUAAUUCGGAUUUGAUCCAAGACUUAUUCCGAAUAUGAAAUUUAACCAAGAUUAUUUCAGAUAGUAAGGUAAAGAUUGCAUAGUUGUAUCAAUGGUGUUUCUUAGGACAAUGAAACAAAAUUAAUGCAGAGUUGUAUUAGUGCUAUUUUUGGAACUAGUGGUAUGCAGAGUUGUGUCAAUAAUGUAGACUUGCAGAGUUUUUAUAUCAUCAAGCUCUUCCAAUUAUGGAGACUUUUUGGAACUUUGAAGACAUUUAUUAAGGCAAAGAGUAGUACACUUUAUUAUAAUAUUUGUCAUGUUGUUGACUAAAUUUAAAGAAACUAAUAUCAAUUUUUAUUUAAAAAUAUUUUUAAGUUUAUUUUAAAAAAUUAAUACUGAAACCAAUCAGUUAAUUGUGACUCUUUUUACUCUCAAAGGCAAUAAUAGGAAGAGGGAGUUGAUUAUAAUUGGGCAAGUUUUUAAAAGAGUCUCGUAGCCCGUUAUAUAUUGUAAAAGUUUUCUAUUAAAUUAUGAUUUUGAUGUAUAUUAAUACAUGAGAUUGUAUAAGAUUAUAAGGUUAGCCAACUAUAUCAAAUGCAUCAUUAAAAUAUUAUAAAUUAUAGUUGUUCACGUAACACGCAACAAAGGACCAUAGAAUUUUAGUUUUUAAUUACCAGAAAAUAAUGUUGAACCACAUGGUUUUGUUUUUGGUAAUUCUAAAUGAAAACCAAUUGACAAGUCUGAUGUAGGGUGAGCAUGGUGCGGUUUGAAACUUAAACCGCACACGAAACUGCUUAGGUGCGGUUUGAUAAAUUCAAAACCAUACAUGAAACUGUUUGUAAUUGGUGAGAUGCGGUUUCAUUUGGUGCGAUUUUGGUUCCAAAACCAAUUGAAAUAACAAACCCAAAAAUUUGGUUACAAGCUAUAUACCAACUCCAGUUUGAUUCCCCCUCUUGUGACCAUAGCUUAAUCUGGGCAAUAAAUUUGGAAGCUUUUUAAUGCUUCUUUAAAUCUCACAAUCACCUCUUAGCUUUAAACCACCAAAUUUUAAUGCAGAAUAUGUUUAAUGUGGUGGCGACAACUCAUAGACCUUUGAUGAAUCUAAGAAUCUGCAAACAUAUUUCGUAGUGAACACAAUCAUGGAGCUACCUUAGCAAAAUAGUUCCAGGCAUCAACGAUUAUGGUUAAUUAAUACUAUGUUAUCACAUUUGAUUUAGGAAAUAGCAAGCCACUCUUGAUUUGCAGACAUAAUUGAUACUACUGAUUUUUCAUUUAACCCUGCAAUAUCUGUCUUCUAAAAUAAAAUAAGGAGAAUAUGUUAUAGUAGAGAAAUUAUAUAUACUCGUAGAAAAAUUUAAAAAACAUGAUGAUUAUUUUGUGCGGUUUGGGUUUUAUGCGUGCGGUUUUGGCUAGUAACCAAAUCGAAACCGUAAAUUUGGUUUUUUAACUCACCUAAAACCUCCACAUUUGUCGAAACUAUUGAUGUGAUUUUAAUUGGUGCGAUUUGUGCGGUUUUGAUUUAAAUUUGGUUCCUUGCUCAACCCUAGUCAGAUGGACAGGUAAUUUCAAUAUUAUUUCCAUUUAACAAAAAUAAUUUUAGAUAUCAAUUAAAAAAUAGUGUGUAGUAAUUUUAAAUACUAUCCCAAUUGUAGCCAACUCCCUUUUCUAUUAUUUCCUUUGAGAGUUUCAAGGAGCCGCAAAUAAUGGAUUAGCAAAGAACUUAAUAAUCCGCCUGUUUCAAUAUAUUAGUAUUGAUUUUUUGAAAUCAUCUUAAAAUAUUUUUAAAGUUUAAUGAAUAAAGAUUCCUUUAAAUUAGGUUAAUAAAAUAAUAAAUAUUAUAAAUUAUAUAAAAAUUACUAUCCAUUGUAAAAUUUAUUGUUUAUAAUUUUUAAUGAAUAAUUUCAAAAAAACUGAUAAAUCUACAACAAAAAAAUAUAUUUUACCGUCGUUAUACGUCUAUAGCGACACUUUUCAUGUGAAAAUAUCAAAGUGUUGUGAAAAUAUUAAUUUUCUAAUUAUAAUUUUGAGUUUUAAAAUAUUUCAAAUUAACUUUUAAAAAUUGAUAAUGAUCUCAUAAUUUGAACUAGGAAAACUACUUAAACCAAUUUCUUGUGGAAAAUUCGUUUCAUGGGACCUAGCAGAAUUUAUUCCACAAUACUAAUUUUUUCCAAUUUCUUUGCUAAAUGAUCUUCUUGCCUCUUUUUAAAACCAAUUUCUUGUGGAAAAUUCAUUCCGUGGUGACUGCUUGACUAAGUCAAAUUAUUAAGUCCGCAAGUUUUCACUAUCAUGGUCAUGCGUGGGGACCAGGAGCAUAUAUGUUCACAUAUAGGACNNNNNNNNNNNNNNNNNNNNNNNNNNNNNNNNNNNNNNNNNNNNNNNNNNNNNNNNNNNNNNNNNNNNNNNNNNNNNNNNNNNNNNNNNNNNNNNNNNNNUUUGAGUUUUAAAAUAUAUAAAAUUAACUUUUAAAAAUUAAUAAUGAUCUCAUACACAAUUUGAAACAGAAAAAGUACUUAAACCAAAUUCUUGUGAAAAAUUCGUUUCAUGGGGCCCUAACAAAAUUUGUUGGGAAAUUGCAUAUUUAAAUUUGAUAUUGAAAGUAAAUAAUCAUGCUUAUAUGUAAAGUCCUCAUAAGGAGAAGUCCUCAUCGGAAACCCCCCUCUUUCCUGAGAAUGAUCUGGUUGUUAAUAUUGUGAGUUAUAAUAUUAAUGAUGAAUGAUUGUUGAAAGAUUAAAAAUGUGUUUAGUCAAGUGAUUUGUGAUAAAUAAAGGGGUUUGUCAUGAAGUAUUUGUUGUAAAUUUUGGUUUAUUACAUGUGUGAGAUCCCGAAAUUAUGAAAUGAAAGUAUUCAAUUUUCUUAUAAUUAUUAUUUUAUUUAGUAAAUGGUUAAAUUGAGAAAAAGUUAAAGUUAAGGGUGAUAUUUGAAAAUUUUGAAAAGUAUGCAAGUUGUUAUAAAAUAUUCGUUGUGUCGGGAAAUAUUCUUUUGGUCGGGGAAUAUUCUUUUUAUCAGAGAAUAUUCGUACAACGGCAUAAUCAUUGGUGGACCCCACAACGGAAGUAUUGUCGUAUUUAGAAAAUGAUAGAAUUAUCAUUUUAUAAAAAUAACGACGAAAGUGUUACCGUUAAAACUGUUGAACUACCCGGUAGUAAAAGUACAGUAAUAUGCGUAGUUGCAUAUUAACACACAGUAUUGAUUAUUGAUGCUUACGUGAGAAGUUACUCAGUUAUACUCAAUUAUUGCUACAGUAAUUGCUGCAUCAUAUCUCUCAUAUUAUUGAUUCAAUUAUUGUCACAGUAUCAUCUGUAUAAUAUGUUAUAUUAUUAAAUCAAUAAUUGAGACGACAAAGUUAUUCAUAUUAUUAUUUGCAAUAUUGACAAUGUCUAGAAGUUCUGUCAAGGAGAGGUUAGAUAAUCUAAUUGCGCUCCAAUAGGGAGAAAUCCUUAUCGGAAAGCCCCCUCUUUCCUGGGAACAACCUGGUUGUUAAAUAUUGAGAGUUAUAAUAUUAUUGAUGAAUAAGUUCGUGUUGAUUAAAGAUAAAAUUGAUAGUUCCAUUGUGUGGGAAUUAUUAGUGUUAGAGGAAAUCGACAUCUAUUUUGAUAAUAAUUGAUGUCUGGAGGUUAUAUUGACCAAUCGGGUAAUUAACCGGAUAAAUGAACAAUUAAUUGCUAUUGAUUCACAUGAUUUACUAUUAGGGGAGUUAGUGCAAGAUUGAUAAUACUUGCAUGACUAAGUUCAAAAUGGAGGUAUAGAUGGAGGUACUAUACUGUAAUUCAUAUUUUCACAUGUCUAGAACUAUUGAUUCACAUGAUUUACUAUUAGGGGAGGUGGUGCAAGUUUGAUAAUACAUGCAGGACUAAAUUAAAAAGGAAGAAAAAGAGGAAGGUAUUAUUCUGUAAUAUUUCGAGCCCCAAAAUGUGCAAUUAUUGAAACUAUAUUUUUCUAUAAAUAGAAGCUCAUUCCUUCAUUAUUUUUCACCAAUUCACUAAAGCUAUAGAGCAAUUAUUAUAGAGAAAUUAUAGAGAGAGAAGCUAUAAAGAGAAAGAAGAAGUGAAGUCUCUACUUUACUAUUCCAGUAUCCAGUCUUCUUCCGAGGUAAGGGAUAUUAUUAUUAUAGUAAGGGGUAUAUUUCUUUCAUAUUCAUAAAGAGAGCUAUUGUUAUUCCAUUCCUUAUUAUUCUGUUGGAAUAACCUGUAUACGCGGACUACCGCAUACAUGGUAAAAUUCUUCUGUUAUUCUAUUCUUUAUUAUUAUGUUGGAAUAACCUGUCUAUGCGAAGUACCACAUACAUAGUGCAAUUCUUCUGUUAUUCCAUUCUUUAUUAUUCGGUUGGAAUAUCCUGUCUGUGCAGAUUAUGCAUGACCUGGUUCCAUUAUUUAUUAUUCUGUUAGAAUAUCCUGUCUGUGUGGAUUAUGCAUGACCUGGUUCCAUUAUUUAUUAUUCUGUUGGAAUAACCUGUCUGUGCGGUAUAUCGCAUGCCUGGUGAAUUCUUUUGUUAUUCCAUUUUUUAUUAUUCUAUUGGAAUAACAUGUCUGUGUGGAUUACCACAUGCAUGGUGAAUGAUCCUUUAUAUUCAUUCUUUAUUAAAUUAUGGAAAUGAUCUGUCUACAAGGAUUAUCACAUGGCGGGUGAAAAUCCAUUUACAGUUUUGUAUAUUCUAUUAUACUCGUAUGAGAUAUCAUUUCUUUUGUACUCGUCAUGGAAUUUCAUUUUCAUUGGUAUUUUCUUUACGAGUUACUAUUCAUGGGUUACUAUUCACCCAGUUACUAUUCACUCUAGUAUUAUUCACUCGGGUAUUCGGGGCACUUUUCGUGUCGAAGUACUAUUUACGAGUUACUAUUCAUGGGUUACUAUUCACCCAAAUUACUAUUCACCCAAAUAUUAUUCACUCGGGUAUUUGGGGUACUUUUCAUAUCGGGAUACUAUUCACAACAUACAAUUCCCGAAAUACUAUUCAUAGGGUACUAUUUACCCGAAAAAUAUAUUUCUUUUCUGUCCAAAUUAUUUUUGGUACAUGAAUAUUAUUCUUGAAUUUUACUCCAUAAAGCAGUAUCAUGUUGACAAUUUGGAUAUUUUUAAACUCUGGAUAAAUUUAAAGUCUUUAAUAUUUAUCCUUGAUUUCGUUUGAUUAAUGCUUCUAUCAUUGUCAUCAUCCUCAUGCUUAUAUUGUGAUGAAAGUCAUCUUUGGCUUACGUGCAAAGAUGGACUAUUGAUUAUUGGUAUAUCUUUGGCUUACGUGCAAAGAUGGACAGGUGUAUGACAUGAUCAUAACCACUGGUGAUAAUAACGAAUAUCCUUGGCCCGUAGUGCAUGGAUAAUUUGAUGAUGUGAUAUGCAGGAUCAUGACCAUUAGUUAAUAGUGGAAUGUCUUUGGUCGUAGUGCACUGACAAACAAUUGAUUGGUAUGAUCAUGACCAUUGGUUUUAUAGUUGAAUAUCUUUGGCCCGUAGUGCAAAGAUAGACAAUUGAUUGGUAUGAUCAUUGUUAUUACAUUUGAAUAUCUUUAGCCCUUGGGGUAAGGAUAUUGAGUAAACGUUCUAUUAAGCCUUUGUGGCAAGGAGAAACUGUUGAUUUACAUGAUUAUAAAUAUGAAUUGUAAAUUUAACUAUAACCUUUGGUGGUUCAGGAAAAGACAGGUGAUGAGAGUUCUCUUUGUCUUGGGUAUAAUAAAGAACAGUUGAUGAAUAUUAUAGGAAUGAAAUAUUAACGAUGGACUUUUAAUUUGGAGGAGAUAGUAGACAUUAUGUUCUACUUGACUCUUCUAUGGAUUGUUUAUUCCGCUGCAACUAUGGUUGAAAAAUUUUAUUAUCUACCAUAUGUUCUAAAUCUCUGAUUUAUUCUGAUGAAGGCUAUUGAUAAAUUAAUUAUCUUAGCCAUGAUAUUCUUUACUGGGCUAGUUGUGCUCACCCUUUUGCUUCACAAUUCUUUUUAGGUAAUAAGAGUGUAGCUGGGUCGAGUGGGGAUAAUAGAGGAAUAGUAUGAUGGUCCGAGACUGUCGAAGUUUUUUAAUACAUUAUAAAAUGACAUGACAUGCAAUAUAUAAUUGUAUUGAGGACCUAAGAUGGGUGUGUCGUAUAUUAUACGUCACUUAAUAAUUGAUUUUGGUGAACAACAAUAGGGUGAUGAGAACCCGACUUUGAAAGCGUCAAAAGUGCACCUCAUUAGAAUGAACAGGAUAGUUAUCUUCUCGUUUUUUUUGGGGUCUUGAAAUAUUUGCUACUGUAUUUUAUAUGGCAUUGUAAUAAUUUGAGUUUGGAUACUGUCUACGAGACAAUAUUGUAUUAAAACUCACAGCUCAUAUGUUGUCAUACUCUGCACGACAGUUCAACAGUUGUAUAAAUGAAGUUUGUAUUUGAUUUUUAUAGUGUGAUAUCUGGCGACUCAGAAUGGGUCGUGUGGACCUAUUUUGGGGGCGUCACAACAUGGGACCCCACUUAUUCAGUUUUCAAAAUCGUCGGUAGAAAGUUAUCUAAAUUUUAUUUUAUUACUUAUAUAUAUAUAUAUAUAUAUAUAUGACGUGUGUGUGUGGGUGUAUAUAUAUGUAAGUUUUGUUUUAUUAGUAUUAUAAUAGUAAUAAAAUAGAAAACUUUUUAUAUAAAAUAGAAUAUAUUAUAUUAUAUAUAAAGUUAUUUGUUUUACUUGAAUAUUAUAUUUUUAUUUUGAAAAUAUGGCGUCUAUGAAUUUAUAGAACUCGGCCCAUGAAAUCUUUCAAUUGUUGGUCCAUGAAAGAAAAUUCUAAAUAGUAUCCUGUCAUUCUCCUAUAAAUAGGAUUCUUAGUUUAGAAAUGAAAAUUACACCAGAAUUAGAGAAUUCUUAUUCUAUAAUAUUGAGCGUAUUUCUUUUGAGUUUAAAGAAACUUUCAGUGUUGCAAAUAGUGCAAGUUUUCUUCAAGAAUAUCCCUGCUAUACCAGUCAGAAGUACUCUUCUUUUAAGGUAAAGGAUAUUAUUUUCAUUCAAUAUUCGUAAGAAAUAAUAUUUCUUUUUCCAUACUCUGUAGUAUGUAAGUAAUAUUAUUUCGUUUCAUAUUCCUAAAUCUACACUUAUUUUGAUAAGUAUUGCUUCUAUAUUCCUUGAAAUUAGUAGAAUAUCCUUAAAAUUUGCGCUUCAUCUAGUAUUGUUUCACUAAAAUAUUUUUGUGAAUAUUCUUGUUAAAUUUUAAUCUUUUCAUGCCGGAGUACUAUUCAUGGGAUACUAUUCACUCAGGUACUAUUCACCCGGGGUACUAUUCACGACAAAAAUUGAUUUCUUUUCUGUCCAAAUUAUUUUUGAUACAUGAAUAUUAUUCUUGAAUUUUACUCCACAAAGCAGUUAUCAUGUUGACAAUUUGGACAUUCUUAAACUCUGGAUGAAUUAAAUUAUAAAUCUUUAAAAUUUAUCCUUGAUCUCACUUAAUUGAAUUCUUAUAUCAUUAUCAUCAUCUUCAUGCUUAUAUUGUGAUGAAAGUUAUCUUUGGCCCAUAAUGCAUAGAUAGACUGUUGAUUGGUAUGAUUAUGACCAGGAAUUAUGUAUCGGUAUAAUCAUGACCUAUAAUGUUACAAAUGAUGUGGUAAAAGUCCUCAUUGGCCCGUAGCGCAUUGAUGGACAGUUGUUUGGUAUGAUCAUGACCACUGGUGAUAAUAACGAAUAUCCUUGGCCCGUAGUGCAUGGAUAAUUCGUGGAUGUGAUAAUAACGAAUAUCCUUGGCCCGUAGUGCAUGGAUAAUUCGUGGAUGUGAUAAUAACGAAUAUCAUUGGCCCGUAGUGCACGGAUAAUUCAGUGAUGUGGAUUAUUUAUUGAGCUACGCUGCAGAGAUAAAAUAUUGAUGAUGAACUUUUAAAUCAUAGAAGAUAGUAAAUAUCAUGCUCUACUUGACUAUUCUAAUGGAUUGCUUGUUCCGUUGCAGUUAAACUUGUUGUCUAUUGUAUUCUAUCAGUUUUACACUGUUGAAGGCUAAGGAUAAUUUAUUCUGUAUUAUCUUAGUCAUAAUAUUCUUUACUGGGCUAGUUGAGCUCACCCUUUUCUUUCAUUGUUCUCUUUAGGAAAUGAGAAUAUAGUUGGAACUAGUCGGGGAAAAUGGAGUGAUGGUCCAAGAUGGUGGCUAUAUUAGUCAUCAUUAUUCUAUAAAAUAGUGUGAUAAUAAUUGUAAUGAGGACUCCAUUUGAGUUUGGAUAUUUUCUAUGAGACAAUAUUCGUGUUAAAACUCUCAGCUACGUUUUUGUCGUAUUAUAUAAAUGAAGUUUGUAUUUAAAUUCUGUACCAUAUAUUUGGCGACUCAGAAUGAGUUGUGUAUACCUAUUUUGGGGGCGUCACACACAAUACUCAUCCCUGAUUGUAGUGAACUCCCUUUCUUAUUAUUACCUUUGAGAGGACAAAGAGUCAUGUUUUUUUAAUUAUUAUUGUUUUUAAAAUUUUUGUAAGAUGCUAAAUUUUAUUUUUGAAAAGUUCUUUAAAUCUAAAAGUUAUGGAUGUUAGAGUACAUUGUUCUGAAUUGAGAAUUCUUACAAAAAAAUGAACAUAAUGUUGGAUAUAUAUAUAUAUAUAUAUAUAUAUAUAUAUAUAUAUAUAUAUAUAUAUAAAUGAAUGAGAAUUUUAUCUAAAAUAAAAUCACUGGGUGUGACCUUUGGUUCAUAUCUUUUCAAAUUGAAAAGGUACCUUUUCAUCUUUUCAAAGGGAUGUAUAUCUUCAAAGGGGUGUUUGUAAACCUAUAAAUAGGUUCCAAAUCUACCCAAAACAAUAAUAUCAACUUCAAACCUUCUCAAGUUCUUAAAAUUCAAUUCAUUCUUUAUUCAUUAAAAGUCAUAGAGAGUAUUCAAAUAUUAUUGUUUCGUGGAAAUCUUCCAUUGAAGUGCUUCUUGUGACAGUUAAAAACUAUUUUAUUCUAGGAAGUAGACGUCCAUUGUUCCAUCCGUAAGCACCAAUAGCGGGGACGAAAUCUGGUUUAAGGAGAAACUGUCCAACAGUUGACUUGAUUUUAAAAACUUUGUCAAUUACAUCUAGUAAGUCAUUAUUAUAACCUUGUUUAUAUCCUACUUCUGUUUAUAUAAUUAGUAUAUAAUUAUUACUAGAAUUAACAAUCUUAAAGCAGAUUUUCUGUGUUCUUCCUUAGUAUUCAUUUUAUACUAAUUUAUAAAACAGAACUUAUUCUAUACUAAUAUAUAAAACAUAAUCUUUCCCCGCUCUCUAAAUCAGUGAAAUUCGGUUUUGGUUCAUUUGAUUUUGCAAUAUUUCCCUUGAAAAGAAUAUACAUUAUGCCCGGUGGGUACUAACAUAAAUAUAAUAGUGCAUCAGUUUUAUUUAAUAUUCGGGAAGAUAUAUCAUGUAUGCAUGUAUAUAUACAUCCUUCAUAUUUAUAUAUUCUCCAGUAAUGUCAUAUAUAUGACAACUUGACUGAAAUAGAAUUAAAAUCCAUCAAAUUGAAUUGAAUUGGUCGGAUUUUAAUUGUAUUGAUAUUUGGUCUAUACAUUUUUGGUACAUAAAUAAAUAAACUUGAUUAUCGUAUUGAAAUAUUUUUGCUGAAUAGUGGUGCAUCGGAUUAAAAAAUAAGUAUAUAUAAAAUAAAUUUAUAUUGUCUACUUUUACGUAUUAUUUGAUAACAAUAAUAAUACAAGACAAAAUAUAGAGAGAGAAACCACAUAUGCUGAUGUGAAUGAGUAGAUUAACCACUAUUCAUCUCUGUUCUUUUUAGUUUCAUUACAGAAAUUUAUUUUCUGAUUUUUUUAAAAAAAGUUAAAUUAAAUUAAAUACAGAUUUACUUUAUUGUAAUUACAAAUUUAGUUUUUGUUUUCUCCUUCUAUUGUUUCUAUUUUUAUUAAAGUAAUUUUGUAAAUUGUGUAUUUAAACAGAAUUAUGGCUUUAUCUAAUUCAAUUGUGCCUAACUCUAUUACAACCAAUGUUCCUACCCAUGUUAGUCCUGGUGAGAAACCUGAAAAAUUCAGUGGGAUUGAUUUUAAAUGAUGGCAACAGAAAAUGUUGUUUUAUCUUACUACAUUGAAUCUUUCAAGGUUUUUAAAUGAGGAUGCUCUUGUGGUAGAUGAUAAUGAACUGAUAGGACCACACUGGAUGUUGUGGAUGCAUGGAAGUAUUCUGAUUUUCUUUACAAAAAUUAUAUCCUCAAUGGAUUGGACAAUACAUUGUAUAUUGUGUAUAGCCCAAUCAAAACUGCUAAGUUAUUAUGGGAGUCUUUGGAUAAAAAAUAUAAAAUGAAAGAUGACGGCAUGAAGAAAUUUGUUGUUGGUAGAUUCCUGGAUUUUAAAAUGGUUGAUACAAAGACCGUCAUAAAUCAAGUCCAAGAGCUUCAAUUGAUAAUCCAUGAGAUUCAUGUUGAAAAAAAUGGUUUUAAGUGAAUCUUUUCAAGUGGCCGCAAUAAUUGAAAAAUUACCCCCAUCUUGGAAAGAUUUUAAAAAUUAUUUAAAGCAUAAACGUAAAAAAAUGGUGCUCGAGGACUUGAUAGUUAGGUUGAGGAUUGAAGAAGAUAAUCGAAUGUCUGAAAAGAAAGUUGAAAAACUUCCAAUUACAUCCAAUGUUAAUGUAAUAGAGAGUGGUAACAAAACUAAGAAAAUGAAACACAAUAAUGAAGACCCAAGUCAAGGAAGCGGUCCUUCAAAGAAGUUCAAAGGGAAAUGCUAUAAUUGCAACAAGAUAGAACAUCUUGCAAAGGAUUGUCGCAAACCCAAAAAGCAAGAGAACUUCAAAAGGAAAAAUGCCCAAGCAAACAUAACAGAAAUAGAUGAAGUAUCUGCUAAAGUUUCUGAUAUGUAUCUUUCGGCAGUUGUCUUGGAAGCCAAUUUGGUGGGAAAUCCUAAAGAAUGGUGGGUUGAUACUGGCGCUACAUGCCACAUAUGCUCGGACAAUAAAAUGUUUACUAUCUAUCAACCAAUAGAAAAUGGUGAGCAACUAUUCAUGGGCAAUUCCUCAACUUCUAAAGUUGAAGGAAAAGGAAAGGUCGUGUUAAAGAUGACUUCGGGCAAGAAACUCACACUCAAUGAUGUACUACAUGUGCCGAACAUUCGCAAGAAUCUAGUCUCUGGAUCUGUAUUGAGCAUUAAAGGGUUCAAACUAGUGUUUCAUGCUGAUAAAUUUGUAGUUACUAGAUGGAAUGUAUGUUGGAAAAUGGUAUAUGUGUGAUGGGAUGUUCAAAAUGAACGUCAUGACUAUUGUACCAAAUGUUAUUAUUAAUAAUAUAAAAACACAUCUUUUGCUUAUAUGCUUGAAUCUAUGAAUGUUUGGCAUGGUAGAUUAGGACAUGUGACCUAUGGUAUUUUAAGUAAAUUAAUUAAUUUAGAAUUAAUUCCAAAAUUUAAUAUUGACAAAAGUCAUUAAUGUGAAACAUGUGUAGAAGCUAAAUUAACUAGAACAUCUUUUCAUUCUGUUGAAAAGAGUUCAGAACCUCUAGAUUUAAUUUACACUGAUAUAUGUGAUUUAAAAUUUGUGCAAACUAGAGGUGGUAAAAAGUACUUUAUUACUUUUGUAGAUGAUUGCAUAAGAUAUUGCUAUGUCUAUCUUUUAAGGACAAAAGAUGAAGCAAUUGAAAUGUUUAAACAUUAUAAGAAUGAAGUUGAGAAUCAACUUAGCAAAAAGAUUAAGGCUAUAAGAAGCGAUAGAGGUGGUGAAUAUAAAUCACUAUUUAUAGACUUUUGUUCAGAAAAUGGUAUUAUUCACCAAAUUACCGCUCCUUAUUCACCUCAAUCAAAUGGUGUUGCUGAACGUAAGAACCGAAUUUUAAAAGAAAUGAUGAAUGCUAUGUUAAUAAGUUCUAGGUUGCCACAUAACAUGUGGGGGGAGAAUUAAUAUCUUCAAAUUUUAUUCUCAACUGUUUGCUUCAUAAGAAAACAAACAAGAUACCUUAUAAAUUAUGGAAAAGUCAAAAACCUUCCUAUAAAUAUCUUCGAGUGUGGGGGUGUCUUGCGAAAGUAAUUGUUCCUGAUCCUAAGAGGGUUAAGAUAGGUCCUAAAAUAAUUGAUUGCAUAUUCAUUAGUUAUGCAAAUAACAGUAGUGCAUAUCAGUUUCUUAUGCAUAAAUCAGACAUUCCUGGUAUUCAUGUCAAUACUUUUAUAAAAUCAAGGAACGCAUCUUUCUUUGAAGAUAUUUUUCCAUAUAAAAAUACACAAGAAAGAAGUUCUCGUAAAAGACCUAAUGAUACUACGACUAAUAAUCAUCAAACUAUAAUAAACCAAGAAUCUAAUGAACAUGGAGAUGAAGAUGAAUCUAGACGAAGUAAAAGGGUUAAGAUCUCCAAGUCUUUUGGUCCUGACUUUCUAAUUUACAUGCUAGAAAGUGAAGCUUAAAGUGUGAAGGAAGAGUUGUCUACUCCAGAAGCUUUAUAUUAGAAAGAAGCAAUCAAUAGUGAAAUUGAAUCUAUUAUACAAAAUCAUACUUGGGAAUUGGUGGAUUUUUCACCAGGAACCAAACCAUUAGGAUGCAAAUGGAUCUUCAAAUGGAAAAUAAAGGCUGAUGGAUCUAUUGAUAAAUACAAAGCAAGACUUGUAGCGAAAGGUUAUAGGCAAAAAGAGGGACUUGAUUAUUUCAACUCUUAUUCACUAGUUACAAGGAUAACAUCUAUUCGAAUGUUAAUUGCAAUAGCUUCAAUACACAAUUUAGAAAUACAUCAAAUGGAUGUUAAAACUGUCUUUCUUAAUGGUGAAUUAGAGGAAGAAAUUUAUAUGGAGCAACCAAAAGGUUUUAUUUCCCCUAGAAAAGAAAAGAAAGUUUGCAAGCUUGUUAAAUCAUUAUAUGGUUUGAAACAAGUACCAAAGCAGUGGCAUGAAAAAAUUGAUAAUGUUGUGAUAUCAAAUAAUUUCAAAAUAAAUGAGUUUGACAAAUGUGUAUAUGUCAAAAGCACUCAAAGGGGAUAUGUAAUAGUUAGUCUAUACGUGGAUGAUAUGUUAAUUAUUGGUAGUAAUAAUCAUUAGGGGUGUUCAACCGGUAAAAAUCGGUCCGAACCGAUCCGGUACCGAACUGAACCGGUACCAAAAUAGCCCAAAUCUUGAUUCCGAUACCGGUACCGAUUGGACCGGUAUACCAAACCGGCGGUACCGGUUUGGUACUGUUUUAUACCGAAAAUUAAUAUAAUUAUAAUUUAUUAUUUUUAUUAUUAUUUUUAUUAUUAUUAUUGUAAUCAUUAUUUUAUUAUUAUUAUUAUUAAUAAAAAAUUAGAAAACCGGUACGAACCGGUCCGGUCCGGUCCGGUCCGGUUUAUAUCGAACCAAGAAAACACUAAAUCGAAACCGGUACCGUUUAACCGGUACAUACCAAUUUUUUGUACCGGUACCGAACCGCUUGAUAUUUAUACCGAACUAGCCGGUUCGGACUGGACCGGUUCAUCCAAAAACAAAAAAAAACUGGUUUUUUGCACACCCCUAAUAAUGAUGUUAUUAAUGCUACCAAACAAAUGUUAAUUAGGAAGUUUAAAAUGAAAGAUAUGGGCCUAGAAGAUGUUAUUCUAGGAAUUAACAUUUCUAGAAUAUUUAAUGGACUUAUUGUGUCUCAAUCUCAUUAUAUUGAGAAAAUACAUGUAAAUUAUAAUAAAUAUGAGAAAAGUCCAAUAAGAACACAUGUUGACCCAACACUUCAUUUCACUACUAAUCGUGUUGAAAGUAUAUCCCAAUUGGAAUAUUCUCGUAUAAUAGGCAAUUUAAUGUAUUUAUCAAACUGCACUCGACCAGACAUAACGUACUCAAUAAGUAAGCUAAAUCGAUAUACGAGUAAUCCUGGAAAAGAAUAUUGAAAGGCUUUAGUAAGGGUACUUAGAUAUCUAAGAUACACUUUAACUAACGGAUUACAUUAUACAAGAUAUCCAGCUGUACUUGAAGGAUACAGUGAUGAAAAUUGGAUAUCUGACUCCCAUGAUACUAAAUCCACAAGUGGAUAUGUGUUUACUCUGGGAGGUGCAUCUGUAUCAUGAAAAUCCUCUAAGUAAACAUGUAUUGUAAGAUCCACUAUGGAAUCUAAAUUUAUUGCUUUAGAUAAAGCAGGAGAAGAAGUAGAAUGGCUUCGUAAUUUUUUGGAGGAUAUUCCAAUUUGGCCUAAACCAGUGCCACCAAUCAUUAUUCAUUGUGAUAGUCAAUCAGCGAUUGGUAGAGCAUAAAAUAGUAUUUAUAACGGUAAGUCUAGACAUAUACGUCGACGACAUGAAGCUAUUAAAAAAUUACUUUAAAAUGGUAUAAUAUCUAUUGACUAUGUGAAGUCAAAGGAUAAUAUUUCGGAUCCACUAACAAAAGGUAUACCUGGAGAGUAAGUGAGAAGUUCAUCAAGGGGAAUGGAUUUAAAGCCUGUAAAAUCCUAAAGAGUCGGCAUAAUGGAAACCCAACCUAAAUGAUUGGAGAUCCCAAGAAAUAGGUUCAAAGGGACAACCUAAUUAUGUGUGAUCUAGUAAACACUGAGAAUAUAAAUACUUCUUCCCAUUCCUAUGAUGAUACAGUGCAUAAACUGCCGAGUGAAAUAGGAUAAACUUUGUUUUUAAUAAUUUCUAUAGCUUGAAUAUAAAAAGGUCAAGUGGGGUAUUAGCAGAACACUCUUUAUAGAAAUUACCUAUGUGAGUGAGAAGGGGCCACUUCUAUGAGAAUGGCGAAGGCUAAAUUCUCUAGCACACUCAUGAAACCAGGAGGUGUCAAAGGCCAAAAUGGACACGAGAAGCAAUAAAAUAAAUUAAAAAAUACUAUGUGAAUUCUAUUGUCUCGAUUUACACUAAAAUGUUGAACAGUUCAAGACAUCACGUUCACUGAUUGGCCAGUAAAUCCGAUAGUCUUUCACUAGGAAAGGUUCAAGGCAACAAGCUACAUUCACCAAUUCAGUAUUUUUUGUUCACUGAUACUCUCUCUAAGUCUAUCUGCAUAUUCAUUUGCAUUAAUUUAUCCAAAUUUCAUUCAUAUGGGAGAUUGUUGGAUAUAUAUACAUAUAUAUUAAUGAAUGAGAAUUUUAUCCAAAAUAAAACCACUGGGUGUGACCUUUGGUUUAUAUCUUUUCAAAUUGAAAAGGUACAUUUUCAAAGGGAUGUAACCUUUUCAAAAGGAUGUACCUUUUCAAAGGGAUGUACCUUUUCAAAGAGAUGUAUUUUUUCAAAGGGAUGUAACCUUUUCAAAGGGAUGUAUAUCUUCAAAGGGGUGUUUGGAAACCUAUAAAUAGGUUCCAAAUCUACCCAAAAUAAUAACUUCAACUUCAAUCCUUCUCAAGUUCUAAUAGUCAAUUCAUUCUUCAUUCAUUAAAAGUCAUAGAGAGUAUUCAAAUAUUAUUUGUUCGUGGAACUCUUCCAUUGAAGUGUUUCUUGUGAGAGUUGAAGACCAUUUUAUCCUGGGAAGUAGACGUCCAUUGUUCCAUCCGUAAGCACCAAUAGCGGGGACAAAAUUUGUUUUAAGGAGAAACUGUCCAACGGUUGACUUGGUUUUCAAAAGUUUGUCAAUUGCAUCUAGUAAGUCAUUAUUAUAACCUUGUUUAUAUUCUACUUCUGUUUAUAUAAUAAGUAUAUAUUUAUUACUUGAAUUAACACAUAAUACAUAAUCAUACAUAAUUCUUUACAAAACUUUUCCUUAAUAGAUGUCUUCAAAGUUCCAAAAAGUCUCGAUGAUUGGAAGAGCUUGAUGAUAUAAAAUGUGACACCCCCAAAUCUGGGUACUCUAUUCCCACAGGAUUUGGUGUUCACUGUCCAGACAUUCAUUUCUAACUACCCAAAUUAAAUAAAACUUAAGCAAUGAAUCUUCCCAUUAAAGGAUUACAUAAUUAAAUCCAAUAAAUCCCAGGUUGUCUAACCUUAAAACAUUCAUCAAAUGCAAAAAAUUAAAUAAUUACAUCACAAUUAAAACCAAGUCUGAAAAAAACAUAAAUCUCAAUAAGUAAACAAGUCUUCAACCCUUGUUCAUCUUUCCUUUUCCUUUGCUAGUGGUCGGCUCAUCUACCUUCUCAAUUUUAGCUGCAAUUGUUAUGUAUAUGCCAGAGUGAGCAAAACAAAUACUCACUUGAAAGGACAUAAUAACUGGCAAUGAAUAAUCUUAACUGAAUUGAAUAACAUUUUAUAGUAUCGAUAAUCUAGAACUGAUAUUGAAAUUUAUUUGAGGGUCACAAGACCAUGAACUAUGUCCCAGGUUAAAAGUAUUUCUACUUAAAUCUUUAACAGUCCUUAGACUAUAUGGACCUUCUUUCUCGUACUUAGGGGAUCAACCCUUCGUACCAUGUAGUGUGCACAUAUAUCUUAACUCUUUCACGUAAUAAAUCCCCUAUAAUAGGGUUGUUCAUCUCAGUUUAACAUACGAGUCCGCACCAAAGGAACUUUGGUUUGGAUAGGUUUCAAGGGUAAUUUAGAGUUCAACGUACAUCAACUAAGGAUUAGUUGAAUCAAAAGUUCAAUGACAAAGUAAAGGUUCAACAAUAAAGUAGUUAUGAACCAUAAAUGAAUAUUGUAAAACAACAAGUUCAUGCUUUAAGAAUAUAGUUCAAAGCAGUGUAAAAAUACAAUAAACCUUGCUCGAAUAAGAUGGUAAGCUAAGGUUAAAAUUCUCAACAAGAUUAAAACUUUGCUUAACAGAUUGAAAGAACUUGCUUAAAUAAAGUUAGGGUUAAAGAACUUGCUCAAUGUAAAGAAUUAAGAACUUUCUUAAUAUAAAAGUAAGGUUUGGAAACUUGCCUUGCGUGUAGGCUAAAUAGUUAUAACUCACGUUCCCAAAUAUCCUAUACACAUGUCAUUGUGACAUAUUUAGUUACCACGUGAUCAUGGUACAAAACUGAAUAUCUAUUUCAUUUACACCUCUUGGUAUUAGGUUUAACCACAUGAUUAAACCACACUUUUAAUGCAAUAACACAAAUCUUCAGUUAUCACAUAACUCAUUAAUUUACUAAUAAUAAUUUUCAUAUUUGAUAUUAUAACAACACCACAAUAUGAUUAUUGACAUUUUAUAGUUAUAAUAUGACACUAUAUCAACAAUUAUAAAAUUGUACAGUAAAAAUCAAAUUUUUGGCCAAUCUGCUAACUAGCGCUGCAGCGCCGCAGUUUGUACUGGGGACGGCGCUGCCACGUGAGAUAAAAGCCUGUAACUGGCGUUGCAGCGCUCCUGUUUACUUGCAGAGCCGGUGAUGCAACGCCGGUACACGUCAACAGGCGCUGAGUGGAGUUGCAGUGCCCAGUUUCUUUACAAAAAUGGUGUUGCGGCGCUGCGACAAAGUUUCACGCAGACAGUGUUCGCGAAGAACACAAAACAAAGCCAAAUUAGCCUACAAGCUCAUUUCUAACAACAAAUUUAGCAUACAUAAAACACAUAAACUUUACAGAAACAUAAAUUAAUGUUUCUAACCAUAUAAACAGUAUAAACAUCAAAUUUAAGACCUCUAAAUUCACUGUUCUUGCUAUUUCUUCACUUUUAGACAUUCUUAGCGAGAUAAAUUACUGUAAAUUCGUUUUUCAACCAAAACAGUUUGUUUAAAACCUAUUAUUUUCGUUUCUUUAUAUAUUUACACAAUUUAAAGUCAAUUUAGACUUUAUAUUAUUAAUUGAUUAUCAAUUUUGAUUCCAAAAUAAUUCAUAUCAUAUACACAUAACUGUAUUUCUCUGUAAACAUGAUUUCUUCACAUAUAUCAUGUUUUCAUGGAUUAACCUACUCUAAAUCAUAUACAAAACAUAUAAAAACAGAUUAUGCAAAAAAAAUUAACAUAUACAAGCCAUAUAUUCGACAAUUAUCAUCAAAAUCAAUUAAUAGAGAAAUAAAAUAUAUUUUCAAUGAAGAACAUAAACAAAUAAUUAAAAAUUGAAUUACUACCUUCAAAUUCUUGUUUUACCAACAAAGAUGAUUAGCUAGCUUCUUUGAUUUCUCAAAUUCCUUCAUUCAAACUCACAGACUUCUCACUUUCUCUCAAGCUUUCUCUUUUCUUUCUCUGUUUUUCUUAUUUUCUCUCUCUAUACUAUACGUAACUUAUAAAACUGAUAUAUACAUAUGAUAUAUUUUAUUACGUAAUAUAAAAAAUGACAAAACAUAUAAUUCUUUAUCAGUUAUUUUUUUGAAAAUUCAAAAGCCACUAAGGCUUAUUUGGCAAAACCAAUUUAAAAUUAAUGAAUUAAAAUCCUUAAGCCUUAUUUGGCAAAACUCAAUUAAAACUCUUUUAAUUUAUUUUAAUAACUCGUUUAUUUUAUAGUUUAUUGUCACACUUUAUUCAAUGAAAUUCCCAUAUUCAAACUUAAUUAAAUUAAAACUAACAACAACUUAUUAAAUUAACACACCACAUUAUCAAAUUACCACAAAAUUAUAAUUUUUAUUAUAAUUUUAUUUAAUAACUUAGUACAUCACUCAAAUUAAUAAAUUAAAUUAAAACCUUAUUAUAACAAUUCCUUUACUCCUUAUUAACUCCCUAAUUUAAUUAUUAAAUUAAAUUAGAAUAUUAAUUCAUCACUCUUUUAAUUAAAUUAACUUCAACCUAAAAAAUUACCGAAUAUCAACUUAAUUAAUAUAUUACACUUAAUCAAGUUACUUUCUCACAACUCAUGAAUUAUUUAUUUAAUUAAUAAAUAAUCAAAUUAAAAAAAUAUUUAUUUAACAAUAAACACAUAAACUAAAAUAUUUAUUUAAUUCAAUAAAUAUUUAAAAUUACAUAAAAAAAUUCUGGAUUGUUACAUAAAAACUCUGCAAGUCUACAUUAUUGACACAAUCACACAGCUCUGCAUACCACUAAUACCAACAACUUUGUAAUCUUUACCUUACUAUCUGAAAUGAUCUGGGUUAAAUCCCGAAUCUGGAAUAAAAAAUUCUAAAAGGUAGUACUAGACCUGACAAAAUAUAGUUAUAGAUUGAUUUUGAUUUAUAAAAUAUGGUUAUGGUUCCAUUUAAGAAGUAAAAAUAUAUUAACUAUUUUUAAUAUAGGUUGUGCGGGUUGGAAGCAUAUACUUAUGGUUAAAAUAUAGGUCGACCAAUAUUUUAAAUUUCAAACUUACCAUUAUUAUGAUCCAAUUAAAUAAAUUAUUAUUAGAUAUAUCAUGUAUACAUAAUCAUUGAAUAUUAUUAUUUUUUGGGGGGUGGGGAUGUAUACAUAAUCAUUGAAUAUUAUUUUUUUGGGGGGGUGGGGUGUAUACAUUGUAAGACCCCAACUUUUAUGAAUAAAGAUGAAUUUUCAUAAUAUUCUGUAUUAUCAAUAAACGAUAAAUUAUUCUGCAUUAUCUUAGUCAUAAUAUUUUUUACUGGGCUAGUUGAGCUCACCCUUUUGCUUUCAUUGUUCUCUUCAGGAAAUGAGAACGUAGUCGGGACUAGUUGGAGAACGGAGUGACGGUCCAAAUGUUUGCAUUAGUAGUCCUCACUAUUCUAUGAAAUAGUGUGAUAAUAAAUGUAUUGAGGACUCCAUUUGAGUUUGAAUACUGUCUAGAAGACAAUAUUCGUAUUAAAACUCUCAGUUUAUAUUUUGUCGUAUUUUACACGACAGUUGUAUUAUUAAGUUGUAUUUGAAUUUUGUACCAUGUAUUUGGCGACUCAAGANNNNNNNNNNNNNNNNNNNNNNNNNNNNNNNNNNNNNNNNNNNNNNNNNNNNNNNNNNNNNNNNNNNNNNNNNNNNNNNNNNNNNNNNNNNNNNNNNNNNNNNNNNNNNNNNNNNNNNNNNNNNNNNNNNNNNNNNNNNNNNNNNNNNNNNNNNNNNNNNNNNNNNNNNNNNNNNNNNNNNNNNNNNNNNNNNNNNNNNNNNNNNNNNNNNNNNNNNNNNNNNNNNNNNNNNNNNNNNNNNNNNNNNNNNNNNNNNNNNNNNNNNNNNNNNNNNNNNNNNNNNNNNNNNNNNNNNNNNNNNNNNNNNNNNNNNNNNNNNNNNNNNNNNNNNNNNNNNNNNNNNNNNNNNNNNNNNNNNNNNNNNNNNNNNNNNNNNNNNNNNNNNNNNNNNNNNNNNNNNNNNNNNNNNNNNNNNNNNNNNNNNNNNNNNNNNNNNNNNNNNNNNNNNNNNNNNNNNNNNNNNNNNNNNNNNNNNNNNNNNNNNNNNNNNNNNNNNNNNNNNNNNNNNNNNNNNNNNNNNNNNNNNNNNNNNNNNNNNNNNNNNNNNNNNNNNNNNNCCAUAAAUUUUAUUUUUUUCAGAGGGGGUGGGGUGGAGUGGUAGGGGUAAGGGUAGGGCCUAGGGGUGUGAGUGUGGGUGAGGGUGAGGGUGAGGGGUGGGGGUGGGGGUGGGAGUUGUAUACAUAAUCAUUGAUUUUUCUGGGGUGGGGAUUGGGGUGGAGGUGUAUACCUAAUUACUGAAUUUUAUUUUUUUUGAAUAAAAAAUUUAUGAAUUUGGGGUGGAAAGAACUUUUGAUUUUGAAUUGAAAUGAAAUAUGGGUCGAAAAAUGGUUAACCGGUUUGGAUCAAUAUUUUCUUUUUAAAAAUAUUGUUCCAAACCUUAACCAACUUAAAUAAAUAAAAAUAGUUAAUCAACCCAUAUGGUUCCAGUUAAUACAGGUUGACCUAAUAAUUAAUCAACUAUAUUGUCAGUAGAUAGUACCAAUUUUGCAUAAAGCAGAGUAAUGAGAGUUACAUCAUAACCUUUGAUUAGGCAUAGAAAUUAGUCCUAUAAACAUUUAUAGUAGCACAAAUCAUGGGUUCUCAUCAGUUUUAUUAUGGUUGUAUACUAAAAUGGAAUUUAUAUAUACAAUAUUGUCACAUGGAAGAGUUUAUGUAAAUGAAAAUCAAAUUAAUUCCCUACCAUUAUAGCCUUGUUUCCUGGUAUGUAUCAUUUCAAGAGGACUAUUUGAUUAUGAUUACAAGUAAAACUUGACAUUCUAUUUUAUAUUUUAUAUUUUUAAUAUAGUAAUAAUUUCUUCUAGGAGGUAGGGAUGCUACAUUAUUGCAAUUUGCAGGUAUAGAGACUAAAACCAUGGUCAAGUCACAAGAGCAUAGACAUGUAACAUGUUAUAUCUUACCAUUUAGUCACCAACUAAACCUCAAUUUUUUUUCCUUUGUAUAACCGCAAAAUAUUAUAAAUAAGUCUAUUAUCAUAUAAAAUCGCUUAUAUACAGUCACAUGCAUAUUUUGAUGGCCCAACGUAACUUGCUCUACACAUGGAUCAUCAAAAUAUGCAUGUGAGAGUGUAUGCAAACGGUAUUUGAGCGAUUUUAUAUGAUAGUAGACUUAAGUGUGUAAGACCCCAACUUAUUAUAAAUAAAAUUGAAUUUCCUCUAUUUAUUAUUUUGAAAUAAUAAGGGUUGAUUUGAUUAAUGUGGUUAGUUAUGGAUAAAAUACGCAAAUAUCUUAAAUAAGCAAGUGGUUAUAAAAUAUUCAUUGUUGUUGGGAAAUAUUCGUUUGGUCGUGGAAUAUUUUUACUGUCGGAGAAUAUUCGUACGACGGUGCAGCCUUGUGUGGGCUCCAUAACUGAAAGUGAUUGGAUGAAGAAAACGACAAGUCUAAAUUUUUAUAAAUAAUGGCGUAGUUGUUACCGUUAACACUGUUAGAAUACUCGGUGUGUAAGACCCCAACUUUUUAUAAAUAAAAUCGAAUUUCCUCUAUUUAUUAUUUUGAAUGGGUAAAAUGCGCAAAUAUUUUAAAUAAGCAAGUGGUUAUAAAAUAUUCAUUUUAUCGGGGAAUAUUUGUUUGGUUGUGGAAUAUUCUUGUCGUCGGGAAAUAUUCGUAUGACGACGCAGCCUUUUGUGGGCCCCAUAACGAAAAGCGAUCGAAUGAAGAAAAUGACAAGUAUGAAUUUUUUAUAAAUAACGACGUAGUUGUUACCGUUAAUACUGUUGGAAUACCCGGUGGUUAAAACACAGUAAUACGCGGUGUUGCACAGUAGCACACGGUAUUGCACCAAUUAUUGAUUCUUACAUAAGAAGGCUCUACCCAAUAAUUGUUACAGUAAUUACUGUUCAAUAUUUUAUUUUAUUGAUUCAAUAAUUGCUACGUUGAUAUUUUAUAUUAUUGUUGUUUCAAUAAUUGUCACUACACAGUAUUUUCCAUUAUCAGAUCAAUAAUCCAUAUUAUUUGAAUAAUAUUAUUAGAUAGCAUUAUUGGCAAUGUCUAGAAAGUUUUGUCGAGAAAAGGGGUUAGGCCAUCUAAUUGCGCGCCAGUAAGGAGAAAUCCUUAUCGGAAAGCCUCCUCUUUCCUGGGAACGGCCUGUUUAUCAUUAUUGUGAUUCUGUAAUAUUAUUUGUGAAUAAUUAAUUAUUGAUUUAUAUGAUAAAAAAAUAUUUAUUUAUGUGGAUAUAAAUGGAGGAACUUUUAGAAAAGUGACAAUUGUUGAAAAUUGAUAUUUUAUCUUUUCUGAUAAAAUGAUUCAUUAUAUUAUAAUAAUAUAAUAAUGGUGAUAUUUUUACAAUGAAUGUGUGAUAUAUGAAUAAAUGAGGAGGAAGAGUACUUUUUGUUACAAUAAAUGUUAAAAACAUCUUAAACAUGUUGGUGGAUCCCAUUUUUGACUGAAAUUUGAUUAUAGCCUGUAAAAUCGUCCGUAUGUGGAUUUCGGUCAAUUUCUGUUUAGAAUUUGAAAAAACUUAAAGCUACAAAGUUGUAAAGAAAUAAAUUUUCUAUGGAAUGGACAUAAGAUUCGAAUUUUUCUGAUAAAAGGGUUAUUUAUUAUGAAUUAUUGAAGUUCCGGAAUAACUGAUUUUUGAAGUUUUAAAUAUUUUUUAAAGAAAAACAUUUUUAUUAUGUUGGUGGGCCCCACAUGAGUGGUAAACAUGUUGAAUUCAGAUUUUCUAAGGUAGGCGUGAAUUUUUUUUAAUAUAUUAAUAUUUUAUUAAAUUUUCUGCUUUGGUGUUCUAAGCAUUUUCUUAUAAAUAGGGUGCUUGGGUUAAAAUUGAAAAUCACACCAGAAACUAAAUUUUUCUCUCUAUAUUACCGAGCAUAUUCUUCUGAGUAUUUUGAUACUUUGAGUGUUGUUAUACGAUGCAAGUUUCCUUCAGCACUAUAUCCAGUAUUCCAGUCAGAAGUACUGUCUUUUUGAGGUAAGGGAUGUUAUUUUCUUCGUAAAUGAUAUUAUUUUCUUCUACCUUUUUGUGUCGAGGUUACUAUUCACGUAUACGACACUAUUCACGUAUACGGCACUAUUCACAAAUACGGCACUAUUCACAAAAAAAAUAUAAAAUUUUCUCUUCUUUGUCCCAGAUGUCUAUUUUUAUUACUAUCUUUGACUGUAUCCAUGUUUUGAUCUUCAUUCUUGAAUUUUUCUCCACUAUGGUAUAUUAUGGGGUGUUUUUGAACAUGGAUAAACCGAAGUACGAAUCUUUAAUAUUUAUUCUUUUGUCUCACUGGAUUCGUUUUCUUUAAAAUAUUUUUCAUCAUCCUCAGUCCUAAAUGAUGAUAUAACUGAAUAUCUUUGGCCUGUAAUGUAAAGAUGAAUGAUUUCCUGAUGAAUAUAUUUGGCCCGUAGUGCAAAGAUGACAGGUGUUGAGAUGAACAUGACCAACUGAUAAAUAUCUUUGGCCGUAGUGCACAGAUGAGUAUUUGAAUCAAGAUGUAUAUUGAUUGAUGUUACAGGGAUAAAAUAUUGAUGAUGGGCUUUUAAAUUCAUAGAUGAUAGUAGAUUUCAUUCUCUACUAAACUCUUCCCGUAGUGAAUAUUGGUCUGAAAAUUUAUUGUCUAUUAUAUUUUAUCAGAUUUUUCCAUGUUGAGGACUAACGAUAAUUUGUUCUAUAUUAUCUUAGUCAUAAUAUUCUUUACUAGGCUAGUUGAGCUCACCCUUUUUCUUUUUGUUCCAUUUUUCUUCUUAGGAGAUGAGAAUUUAGCAGGAACUAGCCGGGGUAUGGAGUGAUGAUUCAAGAUAGUUGGUAUAGUAGUCCUCACUAUUUUGUAAAAUAGUGUAUCAAUAAUUGUAAUGAGGACUUAUUUAAGUGUGAAUAUUGUCUAGAAGAUAAUAUUUGUAUUUAAACUCACAGUUUAUGUGUUAUCGUAUUUUGCACGACAAUUGUAUUAAUAAAGUUGUAGUUGUUUCUAUACCAUGUAUUUGGCGACUCAGAAUGGGUGAUGUAUACCUAUUUUGGGGGCGUCACAGUUGCUAUCAGAGCUUAGGGAUAUGGUCUCUGGCAAAGAUCGGGGAAUAGAACUAGGAGGGGAGAGAGGAGUAAAUCCUUCGCUAGUGUGUCCUACCUAAGCUUAUUUGUUGGUUGGUCAGAGUAUAGGGUUAUUAUGUUGCAUGUCAAUUUCUUUAAUUAACCCUUGUUUUGUGGAAGUAUUUAAAAAUGGCAGCUGAAAAUAUUAAUGAUGGAGUGAAUGAGACCGUGGAAACACCUUUAAUCAUCAACCAGGAGAACGUGCAACAGGAUGACAAUGUUCUUCAUGUAAACAACACCACUGAGCAGACGAUGAAUGAUGAGAUGUUUAGAAGCAUUUUGCGGUUCAUGCAAAACUAGACAAGGGAGACUUCUAUUCAAAAUGCAGGUAGAAAUAAUGGCAACGCACAGCUGGUCACUGCUAAACAAUUCAAGGAGUUGGGACAACCGGAAUUCUGGGAAAAGCCGGAUCCGAUUAAGGCAGAAACGUGGGUCAAGAAAAUUACCAAGAUAUUUGAUGUCUUGGGAUGCACGGAGGAACAGAAGGUUCCAUUCGCCACUUUUAUGUUCCGUGGUGAGGCAGAUUACUGGUGGGAAUCUGUGAAGCGUACCCAGCCAGCCGCACUCAACAUGUCUUGGGAAACAUUUCAGAAAUUGUUCAAUGACAAGUACUUUCCUGAAAGUAUUCGUUAUAUGAAGGAAGUGGAGUUUAUUAGACUGGAACAGAACAACAUGACGGUGUCCCGGUAUGAGGCGAAGUUCGCGGAGUUAUCCAGGUUUGCACCUCAUUUGGUGGAGAAUGAGGAACGAAUGACGCGGAUGUUUCUGAGAGGUCUGAAACCCGAUAUACGUCAAUAUCUCAUUUCUCACAAAUUUUCUCUAUAGUCAGAUGUUGUCAAUAGGGCUCAAUUAUUAGAGCGAGAUAAUGAGUACGUUCAACCGAGGGACCACAACCAGGGUCAUACCGGUGGCAGCAGUCAUCAGAGCAAUGAUAACAAGCGGGGAGGGAAAUAUACGGACAAAAGCGGUAACCACUCUGGUGGUAAUCGUGGCCAUGAUAAUAGAAGAAGCGAGUUGGGGGGAGAUUUUAAAAAGAGAAGGUACAACAAUGACAAUGUGAAGACGUCAGCACAAGCAUCAAUUGUUUCUAAGGGAGGAGAACGACCACCGGUCGUAUGUUAUAAAUGUGGAAAAGAGGGACACAUCAGCCCAAACUGCCCACAACAGUUCAAGGUAUGUUAUAAUUGUGGAAAAGAAGGUCAUAUCGCUCGAGAUUAUACGGUAGCGAAACCAAGUCCAGUGGGGAUGGUGACUCAAAAGGUUGUCCCAGAAAAGUCAAAGUCAACAGUUCCUGGAAGAGCAUUUGUUGUGACUGGCCAAAAUGCAAAAAACCCGAACGUGGUGAUCACGGGUAAGCUAAUCAUAAACUCUUGCAAAGUUUAUACCUUACUAGAUACCGGUUCAACCCAUUCUUUUAUCUCUCCUACUUGUGCUCAACGUUUAAACUUGACUCCGGAGAAAUUAGACUUUGACUUAUCUGUGGAGACUCAAUUAGGAGAAACUUUCAUUACAUCUACUGUUUAUAAAUCUUGUUUGAUCCAAGUUGGCACCAUCACAUUACCUGUUGAUCUUAUCUCUUUAAAAAUACUUGCAUUUGAUGUGAUUUUAGGGAUUGAUUGGUUAACCACUCAUCAUGCGAAAAUUGAUUAUUUUCGUAAGGUUGUUAGUUUUUAUAUCCCUAACCAACCUGUUAUGCGAAUUCAAGCAACCAAACCACUAAAGUCAAUCACUGUCAUAUCAAACCAUAAAGCCAUUCGUUUAUUGAAAAAUGGAUGUCAAGCUUUCUUAGCCCAUGUUAUGGAUUUGAAUAAAGACACGUCAGAUUUGAAUAAUAUUUCUGUUGUUAGUGAAUUUUCUGAUGUAUUUCCUAAAGAACUUCCUGGUCUACCCCCGGAACGUGAAGUUAAAUUCUUUAUUGACCUUAAACCUGGUACAAAAUCCAUUUCUAAAACCCCAUAUCGAAUGGCUCCUAUUAAACUUCAGGAGUUAAAGGUCCAACUACAGGAGUUAUUGGACAUCGGUUUCAUUCGUCCUAGUACAUCUCCUUGGGGUGCUCCUGUUUUAUUCGUAAAGAAGAAAGAUGGGAGUAUGCGACUUUGUAUUGACUACCGGGAAUUAAACCAUGUCACUAUCAAGAAUAGGUAUCCGCUACCUCGCAUCGAUGACCUGUUUGACUAGUUGCAAGUAGCAUAAUUCUUUUCAAAGAUCGAUCUUCGUUCUGGAUGUCAUCUGCUAAAGAUUAAAACUGAGGAUAUUCCGAAGACUGCCUUCAGAACUCGGUACGGGCAUUAUGAAUUCUUAGUCAUGUCUUUUGGAUUGACUAAUGCUCCUGUGGCUUUCAUGGAUAUGAUGAACCGUGUAUUAAAGGAAUAUUUAGAUCAGUUCAUUGUUGUCUUUAUUGAUGACAUCCUCAUCCAUUCCAAAAGCCGUGAAGAUCAUGAGCACCAUUUGAAGCUGGUACUUCAAAGGCUUCGUGAAAAUAAGCUAUAUGCUAAGCUGAAGAAAUGCAAAUUCUGACUUGAGGAAGUAGUAUUCCUUGGGCACAUGGUGUCAAAACAUGGAGUAUCUGUUGACCCAGCGAAGAUUGAAGUAAUACAAAGUUGGGAGCAACCGAAGUCGGUGACCUAAGUACGUAGCUUUCUGGGCUUAGCUAGUUAUUAUCGGAGAUUCGUGGAAGGAUUUUCUCGAAUCGCUACUCCGUUAACUCAGCUGACUCGGAAAGAUACAAAAUUCGUAUGGAGCGAGAAAUGCGAAAAGAGUUUUCAAGAGCUCAAGAGGAGACUCAUUUCGGCACCUGUUCUAACAAUACCAUCUGGUUCGGAUGGAUUUGUUAUCUACAGCGAUGCUUCGGGGAAAGGGUUAGGAUGUGUUCUCAUGCAACAUGGAAAAGUCAUAGCCUAUACCUCGCGACAACUUAAAGAAUAUGAGAGGAAUUAUCCUACUCAUGAUCUAGAGUUGGCAGCAUUCGUUUUCGCACUAAAAAUUUAGAGGCACUAUCUAUAUGGGGGAGAAAGUGGAGAUAUAUUCAGAUCAUAAAAGCCUCAAAUAUUUCUUCACCCCAAAAGAACUCAACAUGCGGCAACGACGUUGGCUUGAGCUGUUGAAAGAUUACGACCAUACCAUUCAAUACCAUCCUGGAAAAGUGAAUGUGGUAGCUGACGCAUUGAGUAAAAGAUCAUAUGCGGGAACGAGUGCAAUGUUGUCAACACAAAGGCUCAUUUUGUGUGAUUUACAAAAGAUGAAGAUAGAAUUCAAGACUCCGGGGACCCAUGCGAUGAUGUCAAGUAUACGCAUAGAACCAACUUUAAUCGAUAAAGUUAAAGUUGCUCAAGCCACAAACCCAGAACUGAUGCGUAUGAAGAAGAAAGUAUAAGAAGGUGUUAUCCCAGAAGCAAGAAUCGAUGAAGAAGGAAUACUUCGAGUCAACUACAGACUUUGUGUUCCUAACGACUCUGAUUAGAAAUACAAGAUCAUGAUGGAGGCACACAAUACAUCGUUUGCAAUUCACCCUAGAAGUACCAAAAUGUAUCGUGAUCUUCGACAUACAUUUUGAUGGAGCAAUAUGAAAAGAGAGAUCGUGAAGUUUAUCUCGAGGUGUUUAACUUGUCAACGUGUAAAGGCGAAGCAUCAAGUGUCAAAGGGUCCAUUGCAACCACUUGAGAUUCCGAAAUGGAAGUGGGAACAUAUUACCAUGGAUUUCGUUACAGGUCUUCCCACAGUUUCUCAGGGCAUAGAUGCGAUUUGGGUUAUUGUUGAUAGAUUAACUAAGUCUGCUCAUUUCUUGCCGAUACGGGAGACUUAUUCCCUUGAACAUCUUGCUCAUAUAUACGUGAAUGAGAUUGUGAGGUUGCAUAGCAUGCCAGUAUCCAUAGUUUCGGAUUGUGACCUAAGAUUCCCUUCACGAUUUUGGGUUAGCUUACAGAAAGCUAUGGGCACGGAUUUACGAUUCAGUUCGGCAUACCAUCCUCAAACGGAUGAACAAUCAGAGAGGACUAUUCAAACUCUUGAAGAUCUAUUAAGACUGUGUCCUAGACUUCAAAGGGAGUUGGGAUAAGUAUUUACCAUUGGUGGAAUUCUCCUACAACAAUAGUUAUCAGGAAAGUAUAGGUGUGGCUCCAUUUGAAGCAUUAUAUGGACGAAAGUGUUACUCUCCAGUAUGUUAUGAUGAGGUGGGUGAAGCAACAUUGUUGGGACCAGAGUUGGUACGUAUGACUACAGAAAAGAUCCAAAUAAUUCGACAACGUAUACAAAUGGCACAGGAUCGACAAAAGAUUUAUGCGGAUCUUCAUCGAAAGGACGUGGAAUUUAGUAUUGGGGAUCAUGUAUUAUUACAUGUUGCUCCAUGAAAGGGAGUUACAAGAUUCGGGAAGAGAGGAAAGCUCAAUCCACGAUUUAUUGGUCCAUUUCAAAUUCUUGACCGAGUAGGAAAUGUGGCCUAUAGACUCGCGUUACCUCCAAGCAUGUCUCGUGUUCAUAAUAUUUUUCACAUAUCUGUGCUUUGUAAAUAUGUGAAAGACACAAACCACAUUAUUGAGUUAGAACUAGACGAGAUAGCCGAAGACUUAACGUACGAGGAGGUACCUGUCAAGAUCUUGGAUAGGAAGGAGCAUGUCCUACGCACAAAGGUCAUACCACAAGUCAAAGUUUUGUGGAAGAACCAUGCUAAAGAGAAAAUAACCUGGGAGUUGAAAACGGAAUUGAAAGUGAGGUAUCCUCACCUUUUCGAAACACCAGGUACGUACGUCAAUUUUGAGGAUGAAAUUUCAUAAGGAGGGGAGGUUGUAAAACCCCAACUUUUUAUAAAUGAAAUUGAAUUUCCUCUAUUUAUUAUUUUGAAAUAGUAAGAGUUGAUUUUAUUAAUGUGGUUAGUUAUGGGUAAAAUGCACAAAUAUCUUAAAUAAGCAAGUGGUUAUAAAAUAUUCAUUGUUGUUGGGGAAUAUUCGUUUGGUCGUGGAAUAUUCUUACUGUCGGGGAAUAUUCGUACGACGGCGCAGCCUUGUGUGGGCCCCAUAACAGAAAGCGAUUGAAUGAAGAAAACGACAAGUAUGAGUUUUUUAUAAAUAACGGCGUAGUUGUUACCGUUAACACUGUUGGAAUACUCGGUGGUUAAAAAAUAGUAAUACGCGGUGUUGCACAGUAGCACAUGGUAUUGCACCGAUUAUUGAUUCUUACGUAACAAGACACUACUCAAUAAUUGUUACAGUAAUUACUGUUACAUAUUUUAUUUUAUUGAUUCAAUAAUUGCUAUGUUGAUAUUUUAUAUUAUUGUUGUUCAAUAAUUGUCACUGCACAGUAUUUUCCAUUAUCAGAUCAAUAAUUCAUAUUAUUUGAAUAAUAUUAUUAGAUAGCAUUAUUGGCAAUGUCUAGAAAGUUUUGUCGAGGAAAGGGGUUAGGUCAUCUAAUUGCGCGCCACUAAGGAGAAAUCCUUAUCGGAAAGCCCCCUCUUUCUUUGGAACGGCCUGUUGUCAUUAUUGUGAUUCUGUAAUAUUAUUUGUGAAACACAACAUUUAUUGGUCAACUUUUUCUCAUUUGUUCAAACACAAUUCCAUGCUUCUAUAGCCAACUUUCGGGUUGAUAAUGGUGCCAAAUUCUUCUCUAUGCGGGAAUUUUUUAAACAAAAAGGGACCACUUACCAACAUUCUUCUGUCUCUACCCCUCAACAAAAUAGGGUUGUAGAGUGCAAGCAUCGCCAUAUUCUUGCAUCCGCUUGAGCUUUUCGUUUUUAAGCCCACCUUCCUUUACAUUUUUGGGCAGAUUGUGUUUCUAGUGCUGUUCAUGUAAUUAAUCGUUUGCCCACACCACUUCUUUCUUGUCAAACUCCUUUUGAACAACUUUAUGGAAAGGUUCCUUCUUAUUCUCAUAUUUGAGAUUUUGGGUGUCUUGCCUAUGCUACAGAUGUACACAUCUUCCAUAAAUUUGCUCCUCGAGCCAAACGAUGUAUUUUUCUUGGAUAUCCUCUUGGUCAGAAAGCUUACAAGAUCUAUGACCUUGCCACCCACAAAAUAUUCACUAGCUGUGAUGACGUUUUUCAUGAAAACAUUUUCCCUUAUGAGUCCAUUCCAUCCCCUUCCUCAUAUUCAGACCUUAUGCUUCCUCUUUCUGUAUUUGCUUCUUCCCUACAAGUCCCACAACCCUCAUCACCUGAAAAAAUUUCUUCCAUACAACAAUCCUCAUCACCGAAUCCAGUUUCUACCUAGUCAUCAUCUACUAGUCCUCACGAACUCGUUUUACGUCGUUCUCAACGACCCCAUCACCCUUCUACGGCUUUACGUGAUUAUGUCUGCAACCAAGUAAUGUCUCCCAACCAUUUGUCGCUUUUGUCAUCAAGUCAACAAAAAGGUACACGAUAUCCCCUUUGCAAUUUUAUCUCUUAUCAUCAUUACUCACCACAACAUCGUUCUUUUACUACUGCUAUCAGUCAAGAUAUUGAGCCUACAUCUUAUGUCGAAGCAGCUUUACAUUCCCAUCGGCAAGAAGCAAUGCAAUCUGAAUUGGUAUCUUUAGAAGCCAACCACACUUGGUCUCUUACUUCUCUUCCUCCUGGUAAGAAGCCUAUUAGUUGUCGCUGGGUUUAUAAAAUCAAACGGCACUCAGAUGGUUCUAUUGAGCGUUUCAAAGCUCGUUUGGUUACAGAAGGUUACACACAGUUGGAAGGUAUAAAUUACCAUGACACUUUUUCUCCCACGGCUAAAAUGAUUAUUGUUCGUUAUUUAUUGGCUUUAGUAGCUGCCCAAAAUUGGUCUUUUCACCAACUUGAUGUCAACAAUGCUUUUCUUCAUGGCGAUCUACAUGAAGAAAUUUAUAUGUCUCUACCUCCUGGGCUUCAACGACAAGGAGAGAAUCUAGUGUGUCGCCUUCACAAGUCAUUAUAUGACUUAAAGCAAGCUUCCCGACAAUGGUUUUCCAAGUUCUCUACAGCUAUCCAAGUUGUUGGCUUUGUUCAAUCCAAAGCCGAUUACUCGUUAUUCACAUGUUAGAAAGGCAAAUCUUUUACAGCUUUAUUGAUAUAUGUCGAUGACAUUCUUAUUACGGGUAAUGAUGUCAAUGCCACAUCAGCUCUCAAGCAAUUUCUACAUAGUCACUUUCGAAUUAAAGAUUUAGGUGAUUUGAAGUAUUUUCUAGGCAUCGAAGUUUCUCGGUCGAAGAAAGGUAUUUCCCUCUCGCAACGAAAAUAUACUUUGGAAAUUUUAAAAGAUGGUGGUUUUUUGGGUGCUAAACCUGUAAACUUUCCCAUGGAACAAAAUAUAAAACUAUCGGAUUCAGGUGAAUUGCUUAAAGAUCUGUCUCAGUAUAGGUGACUUGUUGGACGUCUAAUUUAUUUGACUAUUACCCGGUCGGAUAUCACCUAUUCGGUCCAUGUGUUAAGCCGAUUCAUGCAUUCACCACGUAGAUCACACAUGGAAGCUGUCUUGAGUGUUUUGCGUUAUUUAAAAAGCAGUCCAAGGCAAGGUUUGUUCUUCUCUUCUCAGAAUGAUUUAUCUUUGCGAGCUUUUUCUGAUUCGAAUUGGGUUGGUUGUCCAAUAUCUCGUAGAUCCACUACGGGUUAUUGUGUUUUUCUGGGAUCUUCUCUUAUUUCUUGGCGGACAAAGAGGCAAAAAAUGUAUCUCUCUCCUCAGCAGAAGCCGAAUAUAGAGCCAUGACCGGUACAUGUUGUGAGUUAUCUUGGCUAUGCUCGUUAUUGAAAGAUUUGAGAAUAUUGCAUACUAAACCAGCAUUGUUAUAUCGUGAUAACAAAGCCGCUUUACAUAUAGUUGUCAAUCCCGUUUUUCACGAAAGAACAAGACAUAUAGAGAUGGAUUGUCAUUUUAUUCGUGACAAAAUACAAGAUGGUUCAGUUGUAACGAAACAUGUUUCCUCAACAAAUCAACUUGCACAUGUGUUCACCAAGCCAUUGGGAAAGGAAGCUUUCUCAACUAUGAUACGCAAGUUGGGAGUUCUUGAUAUUCACUCUCCAACUUGAGGGGAAGUGUUGAGAAGGAAAGGACAAUGAUAUCUGAUCAUUAAUUGACAAAUAUAUUAUAUUAGUUAUAUAUUUGUUCGGUUGCCUUUUAUACUUGUAACCAUAAAGAAUAUAUUAACAAUUAGCAUGAUUGUAGGAAAUCUCUUAUAACUACCUAGAAUAGAUUAGCUUGAUUGUAGGAAAUCUCUUGUAUAAAGAAACAUCUUCUGAUUCAAAAAAAAUAUCAAAAAAUAUUAUUUUUCCCUUUUCUUUACAUGUAUCAACCGAUGUUUCUCCAAAAAAAUUAAUUAGGACAGAUAAAUUAUGAGGAAUAUAUAUAUACAGAACCAUAACCAUGGUUAUGAGGAAUAUAUAUAUAUAUAUAUAUAUAUAUAUAUAUAUAUAUAUAUAUAUNNNNNNNNNNNNNNNNNNNNNNNNNNNNNNNNNNNNNNNNNNNNNNNNNNNNNNNNNNNNNNNNNNNNNNNNNNNNNNNNNNNNNNNNNNNNNNNNNNNNAAAAAAAAAAAAAAGUUGAUCCCUAAAUUGCCCCCAAAUUGAUAGAUAGAUAAGCAAUAACGCAAUUUGGUAAUAUCAUGCACAAAUCCCAAAAAUUAUGCUUCAGAGAUAGAGAUCACGCCAGAUCUCAAUCAAAUAUUAAGCAAUAAAAUAUUAAUCACACCAGGCCAAUUAUGUUUUAGUAGCGGAAGAAGAAUAUCCAAUAAGUGAUGACUGAUAAGUCCAGAAUAAAGUAUAAGUGCAUAAUAGAACGCGUGGCCUACAUAUUGCAGCAGUCAACUGAGCAACUAUGCUUGUAAAAAGUAAAUUCUACAUCACUAAAACUCGAGGAGAAUUUAGUUUGACAGCGAAAAUGCAGAAGCUGUUGUCCAUGGUUGCCACACACAACCAUCUUUGAUCUUUGAUGCCACCAAAUCAGUCGUUGUGUGACAAGUAAUACUACUGCCAUGUGACACCUAAUUCAUGGAACAAGGGAAGCAUACCAAGUUCACCACAACCCAUGUUAUGCACAUCCCAUGGUAUACCCACGCAGAAGCCAACAUAAUUUUUUUCUUAUACAAGUUAUUAAGUGCACACAGGGAAAAUUAGGAACAUUAACGUAAACCAUUUAUUGAUUUGAUACCCUCUGUCAAAAUCACUUAACAGGAAGUGGAGUUUACGGGAUAUAGAAUCCAAUUGCAAACUAGGACUACAUAUCUUCCUUAUGCUAAUUUAAAGAAUAUGACAAAGCUCAACUUUUGACAUCUAAUUUGAAUGUGAGUAUUCAAUUCCAUCUAAUUAAACUAUUAGUAAUAAAUACAUCUCAAAAUCUCUCACCAAAUUUGAAGAAUAUAGCACCACUGCCAGAGUUGUGAUCGACAGCAUACUCUGCUCAUACCAAACCUAGCUUAACUCCGACUCCAUACGAGGAACAUUGACCCAUUUGCAUGUGCACCUCAGUUGGGUUUCCCUUUACAUCUUUUGAGCUACCCAAAUCAUUUCCAUGUUAUGCGAAUGCAUACAUGUGUGUGUUUCUCACAGGUAUUCUUAGCUCAGCAUCCAGCUGCACGUAAUUAGAACUAGUAAUGAGAAAGAAAUGUUGCAUAACCAUUCACAUAUCUACAAGUUAUUAUUACCAAUUGUCAAUUGGAAUCAGGAAAUAAAAGAACUAGUAAUGUAUUCGGUGCAUAAAACAAAUUUGUUUAGGAAUCGGUACAAGUAUUUUUACACAAUUAUCAGAAACAUUACCUGCCAAACAUUGCUGGAGAUACUCCAAUUGUGACUUUACACCAUAAAAAUAACAAAAAAGAAUACAAGGAACCAUGUCAAUUGAAUCAAGAUGGAUAAUUUAGACUGAAAAAAAACAAGCUUUUCAGAAAAACUCCCACCCAACUCUUUGUCAAUGUGAAUUACAUAUCAACCGUAAAACUAUCUGUCAAUGUGAACAUAUCAACCGUAAAACUGAAUAACAUCAUGAAAUAAACAAAACUUAACUCCAACAUACAAAUCAAAAAGGACCCAUAUAGCCCUCUUCAACACAAAGCAUCAAUCGAACAAAGAUCUUGAUAUACAUACCUUGUUGAGUACAGAUAAUCAUUGGGCAGUAAUUGAUGAUGACACUUGCACACAAAUCCCACCUCUUUCCCCACGAGUUUAGACUGUCUUCCGGCUGAUCCUCCAAAAGAUUAAAGAACAUUACAGUGAGAGAAACACUCAUCUUUACUCUCUAUUUUCUAUCUCUACUGACCAUGGAUCAAUAUAUAUAUAUAUAUAUAUAUAUAUAUAUAUAUAUAUAUAUAUAUAUAUAUAUAUACCAAAAACAGAAAUAACAAACUAGUAGUAACAAUUAUAAAGUUCUUAUUGAGCUUUUCAGGACUUGUGUGAUUUCUUUAGUACACCUUGAUUGAAACUCAAAGGAGUGUAACAAAGGUGUUUCCUAAUCUUAUUUUAUAUAUUUUUCACAUCAAUCAGUGGAAGAAAACCACCAAAAGGAAGAAACCCGCAAGAAUUGAUUCAUUCAUGUCUGAAACUGAAAAUAACCAGGGUACGCUAGGGUUGGGUUGGGUUGGGGUUAGUUAACUCUCACAUUCUAGGUCAAAUAAAAUCAUUUUUUGUAACCUAGGAUAUCAGUAACCAAAAGGAUGCAUGUACAGAUUUUGGAAAAGAAACUUUGAUAAGAACCACAAAACAUUACACAGUUACUUAGCUAUUCAUUAAUGUGGAAAAUUACAAAUUUUAAAUCUUCUUUCCAUAGAAAUCAACUAAAUUCAUAAGUUCUAGGAAAACUCCCAAUCAGUAGGAUUUUACUUUCUUACAUCAUCAACCCAGUUUUGUAGGCAACUAAACAGGGGGAAACUAAUCCACCACUUAUAUAAACUCCAAAAAUAACAGAGAAAAGAAAAUGCAUACCUCGUCUAUACGGAAAAUGGUGACAGCGCGAGCAUCAAAGAAGAAAUCGCAGCAGAGGAUGAGGGAGAUUAUCGCAGCAGAGGAUGAGGAAGAUUAUCAUCGCACGGGGAUUUGGGGGUUUGGGAAGAAGAAAUCGCAAAGAAGAAAUCGCAUAGGGGUUUGGGGGUUCGAAAGGAAUCAUACGCUACUCCAACCAGCGGAUGAAGAGAAUUUUUUUUUACCGUCCGCUACAUUAACUAGCGGACGGCGCUAUUCCCCAUUUAAUCUCCACUCUUGUUUAUUAUUACAUUGGAAGGUUAUGAUGCUAUCAUUUCUCAUAUAUAUAUAUAUAUAUAUAUAUAUAUAUAUAUAUAUAUAAAUGAAGAGAUUUACAUACAUGAUUGAUUGUAUCUAGACAAUAAACCAUGGUUAUACCCACCGAGUGAGUCGUUAGCUCCAUGCAUGGGCAUUCUGCUUUGGAUCUAUUAACCAACACUUAGCAUCAAACAUUAUUUUUUUAUAUAUAUAGAAAAUGUCCCAAAAAUAGGGCAAGAGAUUUAUUGUACAUAACAUAAUACAAUUAGGACCUUCUUCUAACCAAUAUAAAGGACAUCACACGUCACAAAAUACCGCUAAAUUGGCUAACUGGUGAGCAACUCUAUUCAGAUUAUACUAUUUUCAGCCUGAAAGAAUUCUUCCAAACUUUGUUUUCACGUAUUUAACUUGAUUUUACUCUAGUUUGGGAGAAAAUUCAAAAAGGAGAUAUAUACUCAACUUCCUUGUGCACAAGUUGGGUGUUUUGAGCAUUCACAGUUUAACCUGAUGGGGAGUGUAAGAAGAUAUGAUAGACAUAUUUUGCCCUUAAAAUCAGUUGAAUUGAGCUUGGAUCAUUGAAUCAAGAAAUAUGGCUUUAUGUAUGCUUGUUUACUUUUAUAUUUUGAUUUUCUUUUAAUUUACCAUACACGUCAUAUUUGUGUGUUACACACACACAAAUAAUUCUAUUCAUUCUCUUCUUCACAUAUUACAGUUGAUAUUGCUCUAAAUAUAGGAUAGAAAAACUGGGAUACUCCAAAUUUUAUGAAUAAAAAUUUAAAUUUCUCGAAAUAUUUUUUUGAAUAUUAUGAUGUAAAUUUGAUAUAAUGUUAUAGUUGUGGGUAAUAUUUAUAAAUUUUACAAAGUAAGUAAGUGGAUAUAUAAUAUUCGAUUGGUCGGAGAAUAUUCGUUUUAACAGGCAAUAUUCGUGCGACGGCACAAUCAUUGGUGGACCCCACAACGGAAGUAUUGUCGUAGUUAGAAAAUGACAGAAUUAUCAUUUUAUAAACGGCGAAUGUGUUACCGUUAAAACUGUUGAACUACGCGGUAGUAAAAGUACAGUAAUACACGUGGUUGCAUAGUAGCACACGAUAUUGAUUAUUGAUGCUUACGUAAGAAGUCACUCAGUUAUACUCAAUUAUUGCUACAGUAAUUGCUGCAUUAUAUCUCUCAUAUUAUUGAUUCAAUUAUUUUCACAGUAUCAUCUGCAUAAUAUGUUAUAUUAUUAAAUCAAUAAUUGAGACGGCAAAGUUAUUCAUAUUAUUAUUUGCAAUAUUGACAAUGUUUAGAAGUUCUGUCAAUGAGAGGUUUGGUCACCUAAUUGGGCGCCAAUAAGGAGAAAUCCUUAUUGGAAAGCCCCAUCUUUCCUGGGAACGACCUGGUUGUUAAAUAUUGUGAGUUAUAAUAUUAAUGAUGAAUAAGUUCGUGUUGAUUAAAGAUGAAAUUGAUAGUUCCAUUGUGUUGGGAUUAUUAGUGUUAGUGGAAAUCGACAUUUAUUUCGAUAAUAAUUGAUGUCUGGAGGUUAUAUUGACCAAUCGGGUAAUUAACUGGAUAAAUGAGCAAUUAAUUGCUAUUGAUUCACAUGAUUAUAACUAUUUGUUUACAUGUGUGUACUAUUGAUUCACAUUGAUUUACUAUUAGGGGAGUUGGUGCAAGAUUGAUAAUACUUGCAUGAUUAAGUUAAAAAUGGAAGUAUAGAUGGAGGUACUAUACUCUAAUUCGUAUUUUCACAUGUCUAGAACUAUUGAUUCACAUGAUUUACUAUUGAUUCACAUGAUUUACUAUUAGGAGAGGUGGUGCAAGUUUGAUAAUACUUGCAGGACAAAAUUAAAAAUGAAGGAAAAAAGGAAGGUAUUAUACUGUAAUAUUUUGAGCCCCAAAACGUGCAUUUAUCGAAACUAUAUUUUCCUAUAAAUAGAAGCUCAUUCUUCCUUCAUUUCUCACCAAUUCACUAAAGUUAUAGAACAAUUAUUAUAGAGAGAAAUUAUAGAGAG
This 38836-nucleotide long non-coding RNA is filed under the name Panax ginseng (ginseng). RNAcentral's name for it is "long non-coding RNA (PGIN_LNC004207)". Lineage: Eukaryota; Viridiplantae; Streptophyta; Magnoliopsida; Apiales; Araliaceae. The record is from RNAcentral.